CAGGUAACAGUGGAGAGGAAAAACCUCCAGAACCAGGAAAGCCGUCAUCUUCAAACAACAGUGGCACUUCACAAAGAGGUCACUGUUACUCCAAAAACUGACUCCAGACUCUUCAACCAUGUUGGGAUCAACAGGUACAGCAGCCUGGUAAAUAUGCUGUUACACAGAUGAUGGUUGAAGAUGAUUCAGGAGCUUUGGCUGUGCUGGAAGCCUCCAAAUCUCUGGUCCUUGGUGCUACUUCUCAUCCUGCUUCUGGGACUGAUUCUUCUUUUUUAUGAUUGGAGACAUUCGAACCACAGAAUAUCAGGAAAAACCUAAAUGUGCACACAUUGACACACAGUCUGCAACAGCUGGAUCCAGAGUCUGUAAUCACCUGUCAAACCUGGAAGGAGAAUUUUACAGAGCGCACAGUGAUCGAUAUUUUCCGAUCUGUCUGCCCGUAUCAGCUUCAAAUAAAGAGCAGAGAGCAGGAGACAAGAUGGCACAG
Melanotaenia boesemani (Boeseman's rainbowfish) is the source of this 487-nucleotide long non-coding RNA. RefSeq lists it as uncharacterized. The record is from RefSeq and is a predicted model, not a curated record. The transcript has 4 exons. NCBI's taxonomy places the organism in Eukaryota, Metazoa, Chordata, Actinopteri, Atheriniformes, Melanotaeniidae.